CUGCAGCCAGUUAAGCUGACUGAGUUUCUUUCCUCAUGGGGGCCCCGUGUGCAGUGGCUACAAAUAGCAGCUUCCUUGGUAGUGUGCUCAGCCUGUUUCUUAUAUGGGUUGUUCUAAGGGACCUUGGAGACAGGC
Small nucleolar RNA from Aotus nancymaae (Ma's night monkey), 135 nucleotides. Its record names the gene SNORA70. It matches the Rfam family "Small nucleolar RNA SNORA70". Rfam says of the family: snoRNA U70 seems to be exclusive to mammals and is a member of the H/ACA class of snoRNA which contain H (ANANNA) and ACA box motifs. H/ACA box snoRNAs are involved in the conversion of uridines to pseudouridines (5-ribosyluracil) a constituent of structural RNAs (transfer, ribosomal, small nuclear, and small nucleolar). Lineage: Eukaryota; Metazoa; Chordata; Mammalia; Primates; Aotidae. The record is from Ensembl.